RNAcentral lists this long non-coding RNA (974 nucleotides) under Vitis vinifera (wine grape). RNAcentral's name for it is "long non-coding RNA (VVIN_LNC006132)". Lineage: Eukaryota; Viridiplantae; Streptophyta; Magnoliopsida; Vitales; Vitaceae. The record is from RNAcentral.
GCUCUCUAAAAAUAGUCUUGAUAAAACUUAACUUCUAGGUAUUUGUUUUAGAUUUAUUUUUUACAGUCUUCUAUUCUAAUCAUUUGCUGACUUUUUUCUGUGAGGUAACCCCUUUGUGAAUAAAUUUGUUAUUGAUUGGAAUAUAAUCGAAUAAUUUGGCCUAUUGGAUGUUUAUCUAGACAUGUUAAAGAUGUUACCUAAUUUUUAUUUUGGUGAGAUAACAUUUCUUGAUAUUUAUUUGGAGUUUAUUUUGUGAACUGAUUUUCUACCCUUUUAAUAAUAUUUCCUUGGCUUUUGGUAAUUUAGUCACUUUUGAUCAUACUUGUGAACUUUCCUUGACUUUAGACAUUCUAAGUGUAUAUAUGUAGGUUUAGUUUAUUUAUUUAUUUAUUAUUAUUUAAUCUUAUCAUUAUUAUUGGUGAAUUAACCUCAUUUUUAUAGAAUCACUGACGCUUGCUACACAGGUACGCUCUCUAUCUUCCCAUUCUAAGUGUAUAUAUAUAUAUAUAGGUUUAGUUUUAUUUAUUUAUUAUUAUUUAAUCUUACCAUUAUUAUUGGUGAAUUAACCUCAUUUUUAUAGAAUCACUAGUGCUUGCUACACAGGUACGCUCUCUAUCUUCUCAUUUUAAAGUUCCAUGAAUAUGUUUGUCAUUAAGAACUCACUACUACAAAAAAUUAAAUUAAUAACACUUUAUUUCUUGAAGCUUGUAAAAAAUAUCAUUAUUUAUCUCUAAAAUUAAUAAUUAUUGAUGCUCACACAUUCUUGGCGCUUUACAAGGAGAAGCAAUGGCGUUUUUAAAUAAUGGCUCUUUUGUAUGGAUGUUGUAUUGAAGAAGACAGACGGAUUUUGGUUUAUGAAUGUAUAAAAAAUAAGAGCCUUGAUCAAGCUCUUUUUGGUGAGAAUGCUUAAAAUAUUUUGCAUCUUGCACUUUAUGUUUUUAUUUUUUAUUUUAUUUUAUUUACCACACCUAUAC